CCGCCCCGGCAGCGUCACGUGACUUACACUACUUCCUGUGAGCGGUAGUCCGCAAGGUUAGGUGAAAAUGACUUCCGAAAGAGCUGCAGGCACUUCCGGUCGAGGUGAAGUUAAGCACCCGGGCUUUCCUCUACAUGGCGCCCGCUGACCAGAGUCGGACUGUAUUGGUGUGGCUGGGCCCGGUCCCCAACCAGACCCAGUACCCAGCAAACAUCUCGACUGAAGUAAUGAACCUGCCGUUUGCGGGCCGGCAAACCCGUAUCUUAAGUGUUAGGGAGACAGCUGAUUUGAAGUCAAAUCCCCAGGCCGAUCAGUCUAUUACGAGAAAGGAAGUCACAGAGCUAACCUCAGAGCUGUGAGGACUAAGCAAGGAGGUACCUACGAAGCACUGUGCAUGUGCAGUGCGUGACAAAGCCACUUGUACCCAGAGUUGACCUUUGGACCACCCCUCACCACUCAGCCCCAGGCAGCACUGCAGGCUACAGGUAGAAGGCUGGCCACUAAGCUUGGACCUGGGCAGAUAAAGCCCCAGAGCCUGGACCACAGUGAUCAUCCGUUCCCUCCAUGUGCACACGUUGAAACCUCAGGCUCGGACCGAGGGGCAGUGACAGCCAAAGUCAUUCGUUCAGCAGCUUCUGGCACCUAAGGAGGAGAGGAAGGAGGCAUCUGUUCAUGCUGCCACACCAGAGCACCUGCUCCUCUGGACUCGCCCCUUUGUUACCUUCUGUGAACCUCAUUCUCGCCUAACACUCCUGAGCAGUGCCAGCUGGCCCAGCCCACACCAUGCCACACGGGGCCUCGCUGUGGAAGGGAUGGGUGGCGACAAGCCCUCAGACAAUGGUGAACAAGGCUCACACUAUGUCCCCUGGCUUCUCAGAAUCCGUAAGGCAGAGGUCACCUUCUCCAGGACAUCUCCGACCUCUCAGCACGAUGCCAGGUGCCCCUUACCCCAGACCCCGACAGCCCUGGCUGGCAUCGCGUGUCCUUGUGUCGGACUUCCGUGUUAGAGCGUGAGCCUCAGGUACACUGACCCCGGCGCCAGCAGACAUUCAGUAAAUAUUGGUUUAACACAUUCAGUAGCUCCCCCUUCCCUGGCUCGCACCCCACUGGCAGGCUCGCCCUGGAUCUGCUCCCGGGCAGGCCUUGAUGCCUUCCCAAACACCACCACCCCACAAAG
This is a long non-coding RNA of Phyllostomus hastatus (greater spear-nosed bat), 1177 nucleotides long. RefSeq lists it as uncharacterized. The record is from RefSeq and is a predicted model, not a curated record. The transcript is spliced from 6 exons. Lineage: Eukaryota; Metazoa; Chordata; Mammalia; Chiroptera; Phyllostomidae.